AGAUUUUGAGUUAAUAAAAACUAAAAACCUUCAAAGUUUUAAAUAAAAAAAAAUUUUUAAUCUUA
RNAcentral lists this transfer RNA (65 nucleotides) under Corynis lateralis. RNAcentral's name for it is "tRNA-Trp". Lineage: Eukaryota; Metazoa; Arthropoda; Insecta; Hymenoptera; Cimbicidae. The record is from RNAcentral.